This 253-nucleotide ribosomal RNA is filed under the name uncultured bacterium. Its description in RNAcentral is "partial 16S ribosomal RNA". It matches the Rfam family "Bacterial small subunit ribosomal RNA", at positions 524 to 776 of the family's 1533-position model. The record is from RNAcentral.
UACGUAGGGGGCUAGCGUUGUCCGGAUUUAUUGGGCGUAAAGAGCGUGUAGGCGGCCAAGUAGGUCCGUUGUGAAAACUGGAGGCUUAACCUCCAGCUGUCGAUGGAAACCAUUUGGCUAGAGUCCGGAAGAGGAGAGUGGAAUUCCUGGUGUAGCGGUGAAAUGCGCAGAUAUCGGGAAGAACACCCGUGGCGAAGGCGGUUCUCUGGGCUGACCUUGACGCUGAGGCGCGAAGGCGUGGGGAGCGAACGGG